AGUCCUGAGGUGUAAUUUACAUAUAAGAUUGCAAAUCUUGAGAAGCAGGUUAAUCACUUGCCGGGGCUU
Molecule: transfer RNA, 69 nt
Filed under: Inegocia japonica (rusty flathead)
Lineage: Eukaryota; Metazoa; Chordata; Actinopteri; Perciformes; Platycephalidae
Description: tRNA-Cys
Rfam family: tRNA
About the family: Transfer RNA (tRNA) molecules are approximately 80 nucleotides in length.
Source: RNAcentral